This 253-nucleotide ribosomal RNA is filed under the name uncultured bacterium. RNAcentral describes it as "partial 16S ribosomal RNA". It matches the Rfam family "Bacterial small subunit ribosomal RNA", at positions 524 to 776 of the family's 1533-position model. The record is from RNAcentral.
UACGUAGGGUGCGAGCGUUACUCGGAAUUACUGGGCGUAAAGGGUGCGCAGGCGGUUCUGCCAGUCAGGCGUGAAAGCCCCGGGCUUAACCUGGGAAUGGCGCUUGAAACUACAGGACUGGAGUAUGGCAGAGGGAGGUGGAAUUCCACGUGUAGCGGUGAAAUGCGUAGAGAUGUAGAGGAACACCGAUGGCGAAGGCAGCCUCCUGGGCCAAUGCUGACGCUCAUGCACGAAAGCGUGGGGAGCAAACAGG